This is a non-coding RNA of Jatropha curcas, 3280 nucleotides long. Lineage: Eukaryota; Viridiplantae; Streptophyta; Magnoliopsida; Malpighiales; Euphorbiaceae. The record is from RefSeq and is a predicted model, not a curated record.
UCAUUUGAGUAAAUUAAAGAGAAUCUGCGGUUUGCAGUAGGAAAUGGAAGUCGGAUCUUUGACGUAGCAGCGGUGGAGCUUCCACAUCGGAUAGGCUAAUUGCACCAAAUGACCGGAAUAUCUCUUCCGUUGAAAAUGGAGGGACCUGAAGAUAGCCAAAAGUUAGUGGAAUGAUGAAAUUGGAAAAUAUCUUUUGAUACAUGAGAACAGGGAAAGCUGUUAAAGAGUAGAUUUAUGCUUACAUUGUUCUCUGACAUUAUGCUCAAGGAUCUAAUUGUGUGAAUAAUCCUAUCAAAUAUAUUUGUCUUCUCUGCUUCAAAAGAUCUCCACUGAAGAAGUGCCUUGUACACAACACAGGCAGCAACAGGGAUAAAGCUUACCUUGAAUCGGGUACCAAUGGAAGAGAACUUGGAUUGCUUUGAUGUCUCUUCAGGUAAUGGAGGGAAAAGAUUAGCAACAAAAGGGCACUUGGAAGCAUUUAAUAAGGCUUGAUGUUCUGCUACAACAUAAUCCUUAUUUUUAUCAAGAAAUUGGUCAGCUUGGAAUAUGAGAGGCUACACAAUGUUACAAGUAGGAAAACCACAUACCAGGCCUCAUCAAGAAGGGCUAUUAUACCCCCAGGUUUCUGCAAGCAAGGAAAUAAGGUCAAUUCUUACGGUAUACUGUGAACAUGAUGCAUUAGCUUGAUAUUGCUUUAACCAAAUACCUUUUCAAUCAGAUCCAGAACAUCCUGGUUAUCUACAAACUCGACAUAACUCCAAUUUAUUUCCUCCCUUGUAUAUUCUUCUUGCUCCAUCUUAAAUACAUGCUGUGGAUAAAGAUCCAUGUGAGCAUUAGAACAGUUAUGUGUGCUUUAAAGUUAUGCACUGAAUUUCAUCUCUACCUGGUUAAAAUGCUGUUGCAACUUCUCAUUUGUUAGGUUGAUGCAUAGCUGCUCAAAACUACCAAAUGCUGAAUAUUAGAUAAUUCCGUUAAAAUUUUAAAUUCAUUGGAAAUAUGUAUGGUUUCCUGCAGUACCUGUUAAUCUUGAAGCUUUCAAAGCCAUAAAUAUCAAGGACUCCAAUUAUACUUGUCGCACUGGGAUCUUGACCAAUUGAACUGUUAAUCUUAUCCACAAUCCUGCAAAUAGUCAAGGAUUCCUCAAGGUCUAUUGUUAACUUAGAUAACAAUUGGUUUCAAAGAUGUUAUUCAAACCGAACCAAUUUUUGAGUACUGUCCUCUAGAUGGCCUUGUGACUUAUUGGACCGAAUUAUGUUGCCAAGGCAACAUCAACUCUGCUCAAAAUGUUGCCGAGGUGCAUUAUUAUGUAAUACUUACAGAGAUUGCUACAUGCUGUUACUAAAUAUAUACAUGUCAAAUUUGUUGAGUGAGUUUGAUUUUCUUACCAAUCAAACAGCCUGGAGUAAACAGUCUUAGCUAAGGCAUCACGGCUCAAGGCAGCUGAAUCUGGGUCCAGAGGUUUUGUAAUGUUUCCAUCAGGAGUCACUAUGACACGCUUGCAAAUUUGAAGAUGGUAGCGUGCUUUCUCAUCCUUGAGUUUGGAAGAAUCAACUUCUUUCCCUUUAAUGAAGUCAAUAUUUCCAAGAUGGAGGAUUGCUGCUACUACACGGAAUAUGGCAUCCUACAAAAGGGAAACCAACCUCCAGUUAUGUCAAUUAUCUAUUUGUCUAAAGGAAAUCUAUAAAUUAAUUUGCUUACAGAUGCGAAAAAUGAGAACCUGCUCGUCCUGGCUGAUUCCUAAAAUAUCCAUUGCAUUUCUGGUUUCUAAAUACUCUCUGGCAUCGUCGACAUUUGCCACUUUAUAACAGUUGGAUUGGUUUAAAUAGUGGAAUGUUCUUGGAUCCCCUAACUUGAAUUUUUUAGCAUCCUGAUAGGGAACAUCAGUCAGCUAGGUUUCCCUUGAGUCCAUGACUAUUGUGUAUAACUUUGUUGAAGCAGAAGAAAAAUAUAUGUAAUCACCUCCGGCGGUGCUGCACAAAGCAUAUAAAAACAAUGAUAGUUUCUUUCUGGGUCAGAAACCUGGCAAACACGCGACCUUUCAAGAAGUUCUUCCUUCGGUGCCUGAUCUGCCCCCCAUGAAUGCAAGAUCAUACCUGAAACAAGUGUCUGCCACAGCAAAAAGAUGGGGACUUAGCUCUCCAAAAGCAGCUCCUUUAUACUGCUCCAUCAUGUGAAUGUCAUACAAAUGCGGCAGUCUUUGGAAUGGAUUCACCGCUAUCAGAAUGUUCCCAGUGUAAGCCAAUUUGGUCAUGUCGUCAACUCCUGCAGGUGGUGCUUCUGUGUCCUUUGGAUAUAUGCUGGAAAUAUCUGCGACUAUCUGGAGUUGAGGGAGAACCUGAUUACAAGCCUUAUAAAGUAGAUGGUUCGCAGUCAGUAUGAUAUUGAAAUCUGAAGUGGCAAAUGAAUUCCUGAAGACUAGAUUGCAUGAAGGUGCAUAAUAGGAAGUGGCAGCAGCUUACUCUUUUCCCAUUUGUGGUGAUGACGAUUGCAUCUUUCCCUUUGAUUUCUAUCACUUCACCAUCGAUCCAUGCAUCCUCAGGAUCUUCUGCCCAAACAUGUGAUCCAACAAUAAUGUUUACUGGAGUUCCCUGAACCAUCAAAUAAAAAGAAGAAAAAUGAUCCAAUAUUUUAGCUCGUAAAUAGAACCGCAAGUCAGUAAGAAAAUGAAAAGCAGAACUUGAUCAUUGGGAGCUCACCAUAUUGAAAAUCUAUAUGAUCAUCAAGAUUCAGAAUAAGAAUGUUGAGAAGGACAUGAAUGCUUUGUGGGAAAGAGAGAGGAAGAAGUACUAGGGAGAAUGUUAGUAUGCUCUAAGGAUUGUAUAAUGCUGGAUUGCAGAACAUUAAAGCAGAAAAGAAUAAUGAAAAGAAAUUCAAAAGUAGAGGAAAGCGCAGGCGGUGGUAACUUGGGAGUAAAAAGCACCAGCCACCCCCCUCACCUCCCGCCCCCACUCAACGUCCACUUUUUGCUCGUUCCACCUAGGCUGCUGACUUGGCACAAUAAAAGCCCCAACAUAAAAUUAAAAAAAAAAAAAAAACACUAUUUCAUCAUCAUCAUGAUCCCGGUUAGGUGGGUCCAUUGCUUAAGCUAUACGCAGAAAUCCCGUAUAUCCAUCCACCUGAUGUCAGAUACUCAUUUGCAUCCAUUACAUUGCCAUGUUCAGGUCUCUUACUGCUUCAUUGGUAUUCGACUGUACUAGCUUCAUUUGUAUUAGGUUGUAUUAGUUUAUCACUAGACUAAAGUCUUCACUGAAAAUUUACUUGACUGUAUUAGGUUUACUUU